RNAcentral lists this unclassified non-coding RNA (337 nucleotides) under Hevea brasiliensis (rubber tree). The record is from RNAcentral. Lineage: Eukaryota; Viridiplantae; Streptophyta; Magnoliopsida; Malpighiales; Euphorbiaceae.
GAGAUUUUGAGCAAACGUUCAAUGACUUUGCGGUCAACAAGACUAUCAUCCACUGCCAAAACGUGCACUUGUUCAUCAGGAGGUGAGAGAUCAAAGCCAUCGAUCUUCUCGGACCUCCAUCGCCGGGAAACGACGCUGUUUCUAGCCAUGGAAGAAUAAAACGGAGAAAAAGGAGCGUCAGCUUCUUCUAUAGGUCGCAGGAAGCAGAGGCAAAAACUGAGACCAGGCGUGGUCGACGGUUGGACUGCUUUAUACGAUGUAAUGUAAAAAUGUAAAUGAAAAGAGUAGCUGUCAAUGUCAUGAAGGCCUGUUUGUUUGCUAUCUCUGAAAAUCAAAU